This 253-nucleotide ribosomal RNA is filed under the name uncultured bacterium. Its description in RNAcentral is "partial 16S ribosomal RNA". It matches the Rfam family "Bacterial small subunit ribosomal RNA", at positions 524 to 776 of the family's 1533-position model. The record is from RNAcentral.
UACGUAGGGACCAAGCGUUGUUCGGAAUUACUGGGCGUAAAGGGUCUGUAGGUAGCUUGCUAAGUCAGACGUGAAAUCCCUCAGCUUAACUGGGGAACUGCGUCUGAGACUGGCGAGCUUGAGUGCAGGAGAGGAACGCGGAAUUCCAGGUGUAGCGGUGAAAUGCGUAGAUAUCUGGAGGAAUACCGGUGGCGAAGGCGGCAUCCUGGACCGGCAUUGACGCUGAGGAGCGAAAGCUAGGGGAGCAAACGGG